GGGCCUGUGGUAUAGCUUGGAUAGCAUAGGAGCCUCCGGAGCUCUAGACCCGGGUUCGAAUCCCGGCGGGCCCG
Molecule: transfer RNA, 74 nt
Filed under: Candidatus Methanoplasma sp.
Lineage: Archaea; Methanobacteriati; Thermoplasmatota; Thermoplasmata; Methanomassiliicoccales; Methanomassiliicoccaceae
Description: tRNA-Arg
Rfam family: tRNA
About the family: Transfer RNA (tRNA) molecules are approximately 80 nucleotides in length. Their secondary structure includes four short double-helical elements and three loops (D, anti-codon, and T loops). Further hydrogen bonds mediate the characteristic L-shaped molecular structure. tRNAs have two regions of fundamental functional importance: the anti-codon, which is responsible for specific mRNA codon recognition, and the 3' end, to which the tRNAs corresponding amino acid is attached (by aminoacyl-tRNA synthetases). tRNAs cope with the degeneracy of the genetic code in two manners: having more than one tRNA (with a specific anti-codon) for a particular amino acid; and 'wobble' base-pairing, i.e. permitting non-standard base-pairing at the 3rd anti-codon position.
Source: RNAcentral